This 246-nucleotide long non-coding RNA is filed under the name Mus musculus (house mouse). RNAcentral describes it as "long non-coding RNA chr1:63073773-63074019". The record is from RNAcentral. Lineage: Eukaryota; Metazoa; Chordata; Mammalia; Rodentia; Muridae.
AUGCCUCUCGCAAGGAUCUCCUCCACCCCUCUCCAGAAGAGGAGAAAAGGAAACAAGAAAAAGCGCCUGGUGCAGAGCCCCAAUUCCUACUUUAUGGAUGUGAAAUGCCCAGGAUGCUAUAAAAUUACCACGGUCUUUUGCCAUGCACAAAUGGUAGUCUUGUGUGUUGGCUGCUCCACUGUCCUCUGUCAGCCUACAGGUGGAAAAGCAUGGCUGACAAAAGGACGCUCCUUCAGGAGGAGGAAG